AGGAAUGUAUAGCAAUAGCUACUUACAUUAUAGUAAUAAUGAUGUAAGAUCGACUAAGUCGAAUAAAGUUCUAGGUAUAAUUUUGAUAAUGACAUUAUAUGCCUAUGUGUCUUGACCAAUUACGUGCCAGCAGUCGCGGUAAUACGUAUAAGGCUAGCGUUAUUCAUGUUUAAUCGGUUUAAAGGGUACCUAGACGGCAGAUCAAGCUUAUGUAAAAAAAAGGACUAAUCUGCUAGAGUUACUAGUGAGGGGGCUAUAAAGUACUGCUGGUGUAGGGAUGAAAUAUUUUGAUACCUGAAAAUUAUGGCACAGGUAAAGGCGAAGGCAUCCCCUUAUGAGAUAACUGACGUUGAGGGACGAAGGCUUCGGACCACGAACAGGAUUAGAGACCCUGGUAGUUGAAGCAGUAAACGCUGAAUGUCAUAGAUUAGAUAUAUAAGUUUCUUCUAUAAAUGAAAGUGUAAGCAUUCCACCUCAAGAGUAAUUUGGCAACAUUGGAACUGAAAUCAUUAGACCGUUUCUGAAAUUAGUAGUGAAGUAUGUUGUUUAAUUUGAUAAUCCGCAAAGAACCUUACCACAAUUUGAAUAUUUACAUUGUUUAUUGUUAUGUCAUUAGUUUCCUUUUUUAUUUAUGAUAAUGAAGUAAACAAAACACAAAGAUUAUAAUAUAUAAAAAAAUAAAUAAAGAAUAAAAUUAAUGUUGAAACAAUAACAUGUACUUACAAGCGUUGCACGGCUGUCGUCAGUUGAUGUCGCGAGACUGUGGUUUACUCCACUAAUCAACGUAAACCCUCGCUUUAUUUUUAGAUAAAGCAGAUAAUCACCGAUAUGGUGGUGAU
Molecule: ribosomal RNA, 839 nt
Filed under: Hypotrachyna aff. brevirhiza MAF 10376
Lineage: Eukaryota; Fungi; Ascomycota; Lecanoromycetes; Lecanorales; Parmeliaceae
Description: SSU rRNA
Rfam family: Bacterial small subunit ribosomal RNA
Source: RNAcentral